ACUGUGGAGUGUACACAAACCUGCGAGUAGCGUAUUACUUUGUAAUCGCCAAAGCAUGCACAUUGAAGCAGUAA
Molecule: non-coding RNA, 74 nt
Filed under: unclassified sequences
Description: RAGATH-18 RNA
Rfam family: RAGATH-18 RNA
About the family: Actinobacteria, Firmicutes, Fusobacteria, Thermotogae (1 example).
Source: Rfam by way of RNAcentral